AUAUGAAACUGAAAGUGUGUAUAAUUCAUUCCAGAACUUUCACGAACGUUGGCACAUUUCAUAGCGAAUAUAAAACUUGAUAGGCCUACUUUCUAGCUGAAGAUGCACCCUAGAUUUAGCUAUAUUCAGAUAGUCCAAACAAAGUAGUUGCCUUGCAAACAAUGGUAAUGAAUGUCACUUGCUUAACAGAAACAUAAGCUCAUUCUCAUUCGGCGUAUUGGCCCUGAAAAAG
This 232-nucleotide long non-coding RNA is filed under the name Prunus dulcis (almond). Its description in RNAcentral is "sRNA ncRNA". Lineage: Eukaryota; Viridiplantae; Streptophyta; Magnoliopsida; Rosales; Rosaceae. The record is from RNAcentral.